AAAAAAAUAAUAAUAAUUAAAAUCUGAAAGUUUUUCCCCAAACUAGCGCAGCCUUUAACCUACCUAAGAACUUAAAGAAAAAAAACACUGCUCUCUCCUCCUUGCAGCCAACGUACAACUAGCUCCUGCAAACCAUCUCCCUGUUGACCGACGAAGCCACCGGCUCUCUCCUCCUUCUCAAGUGACCGGCGAAACCACACUCACACACUCGCACCCUCUCUCCUCCUUCUCAGGUGACCGGAAAUUAUUUUUAGAACCAUAUCUUCCUAUCUCUAGCUUCCCCGCUUCUCUCUUGGGGUUUCGAUGUCGUCGUUUAUGGGGGUUUCCUCUAUCAUUCGAUCGGUGAUUACGGUGAAUGAUAACUCUCUGUCACUUUCUCUCUCAGAUUCUUGAAUGAUGAUAAUCAAGUUCUGGUAAUUUCCCUUUACUGCUUUAUUUAUACAGUUAAUUUCAAACUUUUUUGGUUGGAAUUGAACUAAUAGUUUAAAUCAUGUGUCGUUGCUAUUGCGGUUGAAAUUGUUUAGUGUAUUAGAAUGGAAAGCGGAAAAGUUGUGUUUCUGCAUUUGGUUAAUCAUUCUUCUGUCAUUUGCGGUUGAAAAACAGUGGUGGAAUUUGCGGUGGGAUCAAAUUUAGCUCUUUUCAUGAUAGGGAAAGUUGAGGAUCUCUGAAAUUUGAAUAACUGUAUGAAUAAUUCAAUAAUAGGAAGAAUGCUUAGGUAAGAAACUACCUGAAGGCAUAAGAAUACCAUUCACGCAGAUUCUUCAUAUUCCCACUGAAUUGUAUAUAUGCUCUAUCAGAUUUGUUAAAAUUAUGGCCCCUAUAUUUUAUCGGGAUGUUUGACCUUGUGUGUGGCAUAUGAUUCAAGUAUCUGGCUUACAUAUUAUGAUUAUAUUUUAAUGUAAUAUGUUAUUUAUUGUUUUCAUUUGCAAAUUUUAUAUUUUGCAGAGACUAAGUUUUUGUUCAAUAUAUAUGUGAUAGUUGAAGUCGCUAUUGGAUGUUCUUGGAUAACUAACUGAUUCUUAUUUUAAUCAUGCUUCCUGAAUGAAUUGGUACAUGGAUGGGGACUGGAUUUUUCUAUGUGAAUACAUGUUGAAAUUCAUCUUUCCAAGAACGACAUCCUAGGUUCUGGGAUUUCAUAAAAAAAGCAUGCACUAAGAUGAUGAAGGUUCUAAUUGCUUUCCAGGGAAAGCAUCCUUUCUCAUUUGGUGAUAAGAGCGUCCUUUCACCUGUCGUUGAUUUCUGCUUAAAUAAGAUCACCAAUCCAGAGGCUGAACUCUUUUCAUUUGAACAAUUUUUUAUCCAAUGUAUGGUGUUGGUAAAAUCUACCCUGGAAUGUAAAGACUACAGUCUUAUGGUUGGUUGUGUGAUAAAUGAAAAUGCAGUCACUGCAGAGCAGAGGAAGAAAAGUAUCUCUUCUGCUGUUGCUGAGAAUCUUGCCUCA
Spinacia oleracea (spinach) is the source of this 1441-nucleotide RNA transcript. RefSeq lists it as uncharacterized. NCBI's taxonomy places the organism in Eukaryota, Viridiplantae, Streptophyta, Magnoliopsida, Caryophyllales, Amaranthaceae. The transcript has 3 exons. The record is from RefSeq and is a predicted model, not a curated record.